CCCAAAAGGACUCUCGGCAACGGAUAUUUCGGUUUUUGCUUCAAUAAAAAACGUACCAAAAUGGGAUACUUGGUGUGAAUUGCAAAAUCCCGGGAACCAUCGAGUCUUUGAACGCAAGUUGCGCCCAAACCCUUUAGGCCGAGGGCACGCCUGCCUGGGUGUCAA
Molecule: ribosomal RNA, 165 nt
Filed under: Lonchocarpus morenoi
Lineage: Eukaryota; Viridiplantae; Streptophyta; Magnoliopsida; Fabales; Fabaceae
Description: 5.8S ribosomal RNA
Rfam family: 5.8S ribosomal RNA
About the family: 5.8S ribosomal RNA (5.8S rRNA) is a component of the large subunit of the eukaryotic ribosome. It is transcribed by RNA polymerase I as part of the 45S precursor that also contains 18S and 28S rRNA. Functionally, it is thought that 5.8S rRNA may be involved in ribosome translocation.
Source: RNAcentral